Molecule: ribosomal RNA, 428 nt
Filed under: uncultured bacterium
Lineage: Bacteria
Description: bacterial SSU rRNA
Rfam family: Bacterial small subunit ribosomal RNA
Source: RNAcentral
UAGGGAAUCUUCCGCAAUGGGCGAAAGCCUGACGGAGCAAUGCCGCGUGAGUGAUGAAGGUUUUCGGAUCGUAAAGCUCUGUUGCCAGGGAAGAACGUCCUUGAGAGUAACUGCUCAAGGAGUGACGGUACCUGAGAAGAAAGCCCCGGCUAACUACGUGCCAGCAGCCGCGGUAAUACGUAGGGGGCAAGCGUUGUCCGGAAUUAUUGGGCGUAAAGCGCGCGCAGGCGGUCAUUUAAGUCUGGUGUUUAAUCCCGGGGCUCAACCCCGGAUCGCACUGGAAACUGGGUGACUUGAGUGCAGAAGAGGAGAGUGGAAUUCCACGUGUAGCGGUGAAAUGCGUAGAUAUGUGGAGGAACACCAGUGGCGAAGGCGACUCUCUGGGCUGUAACUGACGCUGAGGCGCGAAAGCGUGGGGAGCAAACAGG